This 262-nucleotide long non-coding RNA is filed under the name Elaeis guineensis (African oil palm). RNAcentral's name for it is "long non-coding RNA (EGUI_LNC004966)". Lineage: Eukaryota; Viridiplantae; Streptophyta; Magnoliopsida; Arecales; Arecaceae. The record is from RNAcentral.
UAUGAUUACCUUAACUCUCCAUACCUGUUAAUAGUAUUUGGACUAUAAAUAACUAUAUAUUGUUAGAUUAUUUUAUAGAUAGAAUAUGUCAAUCUCAAGAUUCUUUUAUGGCAACAAUAUCCAAUUCAACCACUACACUAUAUGACAAUACGAAUAUCCCAAUUGAACCCAUCCCACCAUCUCAACACAAAACACUACUUACAUUUCUUCCCCUGAAUCUCUUUUACCACCACUACCACCACCCAUCAUCAAACUCCCCUCC